This 479-nucleotide long non-coding RNA is filed under the name Aquilegia coerulea. Its description in RNAcentral is "long non-coding RNA (ACOE_LNC000060)". Lineage: Eukaryota; Viridiplantae; Streptophyta; Magnoliopsida; Ranunculales; Ranunculaceae. The record is from RNAcentral.
AUAUAAUGUAGUCUACGAAAAUCAGAUGUAUCUGUUACCUAGUAAAAUAAUUCCAAUGACAGUUAAUAUAUGCUUUGGAGACUAUAAACCCAUCUAUUUUUGCAAACAUCUGUGAGGUGGACAUUGGUGGAUUAGAUGGAAUUUCUGAUUCAAAGUCUAGAGCUAUAGAAGUGUUAAAGCGUGGCAUUGAUUUUCCUCUGGAAACAAAGUAUAGAGGUAUAGAGUUUUAAAGCUUGACAUUGGUUACUAAGUUUUAUAAAAGGCUCGCAGUUUGGAAAAGGAAAAUGAUGUUUAAGGAGGGGCGUUAUUGUAGCAAAAGUUGGCCUAAAUCUGUGAUUGAGUACUUUGGUGGUGAUGAUCCGCUUUGUCUGCACUCAUUGCAGGGAAAUACUCACUAAGAAAACUGAUUUUAUGGAAGCUAUAUGUCACGCAAUCAGGAAUGAACUUGAAAUUAGGUUUUGAUUGGAUCUAUGGAAAAA